Molecule: ribosomal RNA, 2887 nt
Filed under: Klebsiella pneumoniae
Lineage: Bacteria; Pseudomonadati; Pseudomonadota; Gammaproteobacteria; Enterobacterales; Enterobacteriaceae
Description: bacterial LSU rRNA
Rfam family: Bacterial large subunit ribosomal RNA
Source: RNAcentral
UUAAGCGACUAAGCGUACACGGUGGAUGCCCUGGCAGUCAGAGGCGAUGAAGGACGUGCUAAUCUGCGAAAAGCGUCGGUAAGGUGAUAUGAACCGUUAUAACCGGCGAUGUCCGAAUGGGGAAACCCAGUGCAAUUCGUUGCACUAUCGUUAACUGAAUACAUAGGUUAACGAGGCGAACCGGGGGAACUGAAACAUCUAAGUACCCCGAGGAAAAGAAAUCAACCGAGAUUCCCCCAGUAGCGGCGAGCGAACGGGGAGCAGCCCAGAGUCUGAAUCAGCUUGUGUGUUAGUGGAACGGUCUGGAAAGUCCGACGGUACAGGGUGAUAGUCCCGUACACCAAAAUGCACAGGUUGUGAACUCGAAGAGUAGGGCGGGACACGUGGUAUCCUGUCUGAAUAUGGGGGGACCAUCCUCCAAGGCUAAAUACUCCUGACUGACCGAUAGUGAACCAGUACCGUGAGGGAAAGGCGAAAAGAACCCCGGCGAGGGGAGUGAAAAAGAACCUGAAACCGUGUACGUACAAGCAGUGGGAGCACCUUCGGGUGUGACUGCGUACCUUUUGUAUAAUGGGUCAGCGACUUAUAUUCUGUAGCAAGGUUAACCGUAUAGGGGAGCCGCAGGGAAACCGAGUCUUAACUGGGCGUUAAGUUGCAGGGUAUAGACCCGAAACCCGGUGAUCUAGCCAUGGGCAGGUUGAAGGUUGGGUAACACUAACUGGAGGACCGAACCGACUAAUGUUGAAAAAUUAGCGGAUGACUUGUGGCUGGGGGUGAAAGGCCAAUCAAACCGGGAGAUAGCUGGUUCUCCCCGAAAGCUAUUUAGGUAGCGCCUCGUGAACUCAUCUUCGGGGGUAGAGCACUGUUUCGGCUAGGGGGUCAUCCCGACUUACCAACCCGAUGCAAACUACGAAUACCGAAGAAUGUUAUCACGGGAGACACACGGCGGGUGCUAACGUCCGUCGUGAAGAGGGAAACAACCCAGACCGCCAGCUAAGGUCCCAAAGUCAUGGUUAAGUGGGAAACGAUGUGGGAAGGCACAGACAGCCAGGAUGUUGGCUUAGAAGCAGCCAUCAUUUAAAGAAAGCGUAAUAGCUCACUGGUCGAGUCGGCCUGCGCGGAAGAUGUAACGGGGCUAAACCAUGCACCGAAGCUGCGGCAGCGACACUAUGUGUUGUUGGGUAGGGGAGCGUUCUGUAAGCCUGCGAAGGUGNNNNNNNNUGCUGGAGGUAUCAGAAGUGCGAAUGCUGACAUAAGUAACGAUAAAGCGGGUGAAAAGCCCGCUCGCCGGAAGACCAAGGGUUCCUGUCCAACGUUAAUCGGGGCAGGGUGAGUCGACCCCUAAGGCGAGGCCGAAAGGCGUAGUCGAUGGGAAACAGGUUAAUAUUCCUGUACUUGGUGUUACUGCGAAGGGGGGACGGAGAAGGCUAUGUUAGCCGGGCGACGGUUGUCCCGGUUUAAGCAUGUAGGCUGAUUGUCCAGGCAAAUCCGGAUAAUCAAGGCUGAGGUGUGAUGACGAGGCACUACGGUGCUGAAGUAACAAAUGCCCUGCUUCCAGGAAAAGCCUCUAAGCAUCAGGUAACAUCAAAUCGUACCCCAAACCGACACAGGUGGUCAGGUAGAGAAUACCAAGGCGCUUGAGAGAACUCGGGUGAAGGAACUAGGCAAAAUGGUGCCGUAACUUCGGGAGAAGGCACGCUGGUGUGUAGGUGAAGNUGGAGCUGAGACCAGUCGAAGAUACCAGCUGGCUGCAACUGUUUAUUAAAAACACAGCACUGUGCAAACACGAAAGUGGACGUAUACGGUGUGACGCCUGCCCGGUGCCGGAAGGUUAAUUGAUGGGGUUAUCCGUAAGGAGAAGCUCUUGAUCGAAGCCCCGGUAAACGGCGGCCGUAACUAUAACGGUCCUAAGGUAGCGAAAUUCCUUGUCGGGUAAGUUCCGACCUGCACGAAUGGCGUAAUGAUGGCCAGGCUGUCUCCACCCGAGACUCAGUGAAAUUGAACUCGCUGUGAAGAUGCAGUGUACCCGCGGCAAGACGGAAAGACCCCGUGAACCUUUACUAUAGCUUGACACUGAACAUUGAGCCUUGAUGUGUAGGAUAGGUGGGAGGCUUUGAAGCGUGGACGCCAGUCUGCGUGGAGCCAACCUUGAAAUACCACCCUUUAAUGUUUGAUGUUCUAACGUUGGCCCCUGACCGGGGUUGCGGACAGUGUCUGGUGGGUAGUUUGACUGGGGCGGUCUCCUCCCAAAGCGUAACGGAGGAGCACGAAGGUUAGCUAAUCCUGGUCGGACAUCAGGAGGUUAGUGCAAUGGCAUAAGCUAGCUUGACUGCGAGCGUGACGGCGCGAGCAGGUGCGAAAGCAGGUCAUAGUGAUCCGGUGGUUCUGAAUGGAAGGGCCAUCGCUCAACGGAUAAAAGGUACUCCGGGGAUAACAGGCUGAUACCGCCCAAGAGUUCAUAUCGACGGCGGUGUUUGGCACCUCGAUGUCGGCUCAUCACAUCCUGGGGCUGAAGUAGGUCCCAAGGGUAUGGCUGUUCGCCAUUUAAAGUGGUACGCGAGCUGGGUUUAGAACGUCGUGAGACAGUUCGGUCCCUAUCUGCCGUGGGCGCUGGAGAAUUGAGGGGGGCUGCUCCUAGUACGAGAGGACCGGAGUGGACGCAUCACUGGUGUUCGGGUUGUCAUGCCAAUGGCACUGCCCGGUAGCUAAAUGCGGAAGAGAUAAGUGCUGAAAGCAUCUAAGCACGAAACUUGCCCCGAGAUGAGUUCUCCCUGAGACUUUAAGUCUCCUGAAGGAACGUUGAAGACGACGACGUUGAUAGGCCGGGUGUGUAAGCGCAGCGAUGCGUUGAGCUAACCGGUACUAAUGAACCGUGAGGCUUAACCUU